RNAcentral lists this ribosomal RNA (301 nucleotides) under uncultured bacterium. RNAcentral describes it as "partial 16S ribosomal RNA". It matches the Rfam family "Bacterial small subunit ribosomal RNA", at positions 509 to 807 of the family's 1533-position model. The record is from RNAcentral.
CAGCCGCCACGGGAAUACGAAGGGUGCAAGCGUUAAUCGGAAUUACUGGGCGUAAAGCGUGCGUAGGCGGACUGUUUAGUCAGAGGUGAAAGCCCAGGGCUCAACCUUGGAAUUGCCUUUGAUACUGGCAGUCUUGAGUACGGAAGAGGUAUGUGGAACUCCGAGUGUAGAGGUGAAAUUCGUAGAUAUUCGGAAGAACACCAGUGGCGAAGGCGACAUACUGGUCCGUUACUGACGCUGAGGCUCGAAAGCGUGGGGAGCAAACAGGAUUAGAUACCCGAGUAGUCCCUGUCUCUUAUAC